RNAcentral lists this ribosomal RNA (497 nucleotides) under uncultured bacterium. RNAcentral describes it as "partial 16S ribosomal RNA". It matches the Rfam family "Bacterial small subunit ribosomal RNA", at positions 28 to 507 of the family's 1533-position model. The record is from RNAcentral.
GAUGAACGCUGGCGGCGUGCCUAAUACAUGCAAGUCGAGCGAACAGACGAGGAGCUUGCUCCUCUGACGUUAGCGGCGGACGGGUGAGUAACACGUGGAUAACCUACCUAUAAGACUGGGAUAACUUCGGGAAACCGGAUCUAAUACCGGAUAAUAUAUUGAACCGCAUGGUUCAAUAGUGAAAUACGGUUUUGCUGUCACUUAUAGAUGGAUCCGCGCCGCAUUAGCUAGUUGGUAAGGUAACGGCUUACCAAGGCAACGAUGCGUAGCCGACCUGAGAGGGAGAUCGGCCACACUGGAACUGAGAAACGGUCCAGACUCCUACGGGAGGCAGCAGUAGGGAAUCUUCCGCAAUGGGCGAAAGCCUGACGGAGCAACGCCGCGUGAGUGAUGAAGGUCUUCGGAUCGUAAAACUCUGUUAUUAGGGAAGAACAAAUGUGUAAGUAACUAUGCACGUAUUGACGGUACCUAAUCAGAAAGCCACGGCUAACUCCGUG